Molecule: long non-coding RNA, 865 nt
Filed under: Homo sapiens (human)
Lineage: Eukaryota; Metazoa; Chordata; Mammalia; Primates; Hominidae
Description: HSALNT0346427
Source: RNAcentral
UUAUUGAGAAGCUUGUGGAAUGUAGGCGUAAGUGUAUUGGAUAAUUAAAGUUUUGAUAUUCUGAUAUUGUUGGAACUACUUGAAGAAUUUAACAUUUGGUAAUUAUGAGACAACUUCUACAAGAACCGGCUGAUACCCUGAAAAAAAACCUGUCAGAGCCUUCCCUAGAGGCUACACCACAUUGUCACAUUAAUUUAGAAGAGACACAAGAUUCAAAGAAGGAAUUAGUUUGAUGAUCUCACAGCAGAAUUGGAAGCUGUAUCUUUACAAUGUGUCUAUUUGGCUGAAAACAAUCAAGUUACUCAACAGGAGUUAUCUAUGAAAAAAGUACAACAGGAAUGUGAAAAACUUGAGGAAAAUAAAAAGAUGUUGGAAGAAGGAAUAGUAAAUCUUAUGACACAUAUGGAAAAAUAUGGUAGAACUUGGUAAAGUACAAGAAUAUAAAUUGGAGCUAGAAGAAAAAGCAAUGCCAGCAAUAGAAAAAAAAUAGAAGAAAUCCAUUAACACGUUAGUUUUUAAAGUCAGCUUUUGCUGUGUUGGACAUUUUCUCCCAUCUGGUUUCUUCUUUAGAAUCCACUGAUGAGCAACAACUAAUGAAGAGAAUAUCUAAACCAUAAAAUCUUAAGGAAAAAGUUUAUGAUUUAAAAGACCUAAAACAUCUUAAAACUUUAUUACUGAUCUGUGUACAUGACAUUUUAAUUGUUUCUCAUAAAAUAUGUAACAUCAUGAUCUUCACUAAAGUAGAAUAUGUUUGUAUCAUAUGUGUGAUGAAAAUGUAUAUGGUAUUUUAAAUGAUUUUUUAGCCUCUUUAAGUUUUAAGUUGAUCUUGUAAAUGAAAACCAGUAUUGUUGAGUUUGACAUACUC